GAUUUUCUGUCUACAAAAUUGAAUUUAACAAUCCUUUUAUGUUGUACAGACAUAAUUUUUCCACUGCGAUAGGCAUUCCAACUUUGAGAUCAAGUGUUCAUUUUAUGAACUGAGUCUUUGUUUGCGAGCUGAAGUGGACUUCGUCAUCUUCUGAUGUUGUACGAUCAUGGUUGACUCUGUUGAGUAUCUUCAUAAUGUGAACAGGCAAAGUGACUUAACG
RNAcentral lists this long non-coding RNA (220 nucleotides) under Panax ginseng (ginseng). Its description in RNAcentral is "long non-coding RNA (PGIN_LNC014529)". The record is from RNAcentral. Lineage: Eukaryota; Viridiplantae; Streptophyta; Magnoliopsida; Apiales; Araliaceae.